Molecule: ribosomal RNA, 207 nt
Filed under: uncultured soil bacterium
Lineage: Bacteria
Description: partial 16S ribosomal RNA
Rfam family: Bacterial small subunit ribosomal RNA
Source: RNAcentral
AGAACGAACGCUGGCGGCAUGCCUAAUACAUGCAAGUCGAACGAAGGCUUCGGCCUUAGUGGCGCACGGGUGCGUAACGCGUGGGAAUCUGCCCCUUGGUUCGGAAUAACAGUUGGAAACGACUGCUGAUACCGGAUGAUGACGAAAGUCCAAAGAUUUAUCGCCAAGGGAUGAGCCCGCGUAGGAUUAGCUAGUUGGUGAGGUAAA